Molecule: long non-coding RNA, 1717 nt
Organism: Chelonia mydas (Green sea turtle)
Lineage: Eukaryota; Metazoa; Chordata; Testudines; Cheloniidae
Exons: 3
Source: RefSeq, a predicted model, not a curated record
CUCGCCAAGAUUUCCUAAUUGUCCAGGUGGCUGAGCCCGAAGGCAGCUCUGUGAACACCUCCAUACCGAAUGCCAGCUCCAUUUCAGAGACGUCUUUCUUCGUGCAGAAAUAGAACACCUCCACUUCUUCGUGGGAAGAUGUCGUUUACUCCUCUGAUGGGGGCUCCCAAACAGUCCUCAGUUCCUUCAAGGAGACACUCUCCUUUUCCGGUGGAUACUGCAAGAUGGAGAACGUGAGCAAAGGGGCUGAAGGAGUUUACAGGAUUCAAGAUGAAAUGUACAGGAAGUGUGUGGCUGUCGUAAACUUUACCGUGGUGGAGCCCAGCUCAUUCCCACCUACUGUGUCUGGGACCUCCGGUGCUGAGGAGGAAGCUCGUGAUGAGACCAAAGGGGAUGGGAACUGUAGCCUCUUUUCCACAGGGUCAGUCUGAGUUCAAGCCAAUGCCGUAGGGCAUUUCAGGCUGCUGUCCUGUCUGGUCCAGCCCAGGGGACAAUAUCUGAUGCUUCCAGGAAAAGCAAGAACCCGCUGUAACAUACAUGGCUAGUUUUACCAUGCUGUAAAUGCAGGUGGGGAAUUAAUUACUGACCUCGGUGGCGUUCAGACUAUGUCCUGAAGCAUGGGAUUGGGCCAGAGGGACAGCUAGCGCUGGUCACAGUGUCCAGGGUCUCGGAGUGGGAAGUUCCUUGGAGAAUUCCACUGGGUGGGAGACUCAGCUGUGAAGGGAGGGGGCGGGCAGGAGCAUCUCAUCAACCCAAGAUUGGAAUAACUGAAGUAAUGUUCCUUUUACACGGAGCCUCAGCUCUCUGGAACCUCUGCAAAUGCUUUAGCCACGUGUUUAACUCCAUCCGUAGGAGUCGCCUUGGAUCGCAGUGGGAGGGCUCAGGUGCGUAAGUGUUUGCAGGAUGGGCACUCAGGGCAGUCCCUGACGCCAGGGCAAAGUGGAUGUGACGUGCCACUGUCUGGAUUUGGGAGCCUGCCUGCACAGCGAACUCACUAGGCGCUGGGUGCAUGACUGCAAGGCGCUGGGCCGGGGAAAAUCAGCCCCGGGUGGUUAUUUUGAGUAGAAAACCAGAGCCACUUCUGGGGUCUUUCAGCUUCUAAUGCCCUUUCCCUUCUGCAGCUGGAUUUCAGCCUUUGAUAAAAUCCCUCUCAAUGCCAAGUCAGUGCCAUAAAUCACUGGACUGGGUGCAGGAAUCAGUAGGCGACGUUCUCUGGCCUGGGUUAUGCCAGGGCUCAGACUAAAUUAUUCUUCCCAAAACUUUUAAAAGCUGAGCCCCCUCCUCAAGGCAAAGAAACCAAUCGUGCCCCUCACCCGUCAGCAAUGUGUUAGCGACCCUACCCCCCAUUUUCAUGGAUACGUCUUCAAACCCCACCCUUCCCACCAUGGCUAGCCCUUCCCCACGCUUCAGGAGACGCUGGAGGAGAUGAUCCUAACCGUCCCCUCUAACCUUAAGACCUGAGGGACCCCAUCCUGGAGCAUCUUAAAAAAUCACAGUUCCCAGACUCUGGAACAGGGGCUGCUUUGCCGGGCUCACCUUUCUCCCUGCGUCAGGUUGGCCGAUGGGGAUAAUGAGCCUGGAGAUCUCAUUCCCGCUGCUCUGAGUGGUGCCCAUGUGCACACGACCCAGCUCAGCUCUUCAUGUAUCCCAGGAACGUCUUCAUCUUCUGGGAUCCUCAUGGCAGCAGUGGGAUGAUUUAACGGAGCCCCUUAGUCAU